Molecule: non-coding RNA, 98 nt
Organism: Aaosphaeria arxii CBS 175.79
Lineage: Eukaryota; Fungi; Ascomycota; Dothideomycetes; Pleosporales
Source: the annotation of a RefSeq genome assembly
UCUUCGAUGGUCUAGUGGUCAUGAUUUCCGCUUGUCAGUAGUCCAAUACUUGGAUUAAACAAGCGCGGGAGACCGGGGUUCGAUUCCCCGUCGGAGAG